This 234-nucleotide ribosomal RNA is filed under the name uncultured bacterium. Its description in RNAcentral is "partial 16S ribosomal RNA". It matches the Rfam family "Bacterial small subunit ribosomal RNA", at positions 118 to 351 of the family's 1533-position model. The record is from RNAcentral.
UGAGUAACCUGCCCUUAACUCUGGGAUAAGCCUGGGAAACUGGGUCUAAUACCGGAUAUGACUCCUCAUCGCAUGGUGGGGGGUGGAAAGCUUUUUUGUGGUUUUGGAUGGACUCGCGGCCUAUCAGCUUGUUGGUGGGGUAAUGGCCCACCAAGGCUUCGACGGGUAGCCGGCCUGAGAGGGCGACCGGCCACACUGGGACUGAGAUACGGCCCAGACUCCUACGGGAGGCAG